GCAAAAAACUAAUAAACUUUCAAAAAUACCUUCAAAUACUUAUAAAACAUGUCAAUGGAACAAAAUAUACGCACUUUCAAAGAUUUCCUCGAAUUUUACAAUCAAAUGUCACAGACCUGCUUCAGCCACUGUGUGAACACUUUCAAACGCUACGAAAUCGAGCAGGAUGAAGUUGCGUGCGUGGAACGCUGUGCUACAAAACUGAUACGCUUCAAUAAUCGUUCUAUAGGAGUAUAUGCAGAACUGCAACAGCAAUUGAUGGAAAAACGUAUGGCGGAAGCUGAAAAAGAAGCACUGACUGCCCAAGCCAAACUGGAUGCAGAAGCCACCAAAGUUGCAACAACUGAUGCAGUAGAACAAUCCUCAACACCAGAUACACAAAAUGAAGUUUUAAAAACCAAUUCAUAGUUAUUGCUUGUAAUAAACCAAAAAAUGCAAGCUAGUGUUAUCAUAGUUUUAGUUGGUUUACCAGGAGCUGGAAAGAGUACAUUUUCCAAGUUGUGUAAAACACAUUUAACAGAAUAUCAUGUUGAAGUGUUGCAUUAUGAUGACUUGUGUGUGACUUUUUCUACAGAUGAACGAAAAUCCAUCUUGAAUCAAGCAGAGAAUUAUAUUUUACACAGUAAAACAACAAAUGUGUUAAUUAUUGAUGAUAAUAAUUAUUACAAAAGCAUGCGUUUUGCAUAUAUGAAACUCUGUAGAAAAUUAAAUUUAGGAUUCAUAGUUGUAUAUUUUAAAAUGUCGUUGGAGGAUGCAUUGGAGCGCAAUGCACGUAGAAAUGUAAAAGAAAAGGUUCCCAAUGACAUUAUCAAAGAGAUGUUUGGUAAAUUAGAAGUACCAACAGGUGAACAUGUUGUUCACAUUAAUAUUCAACAAGAUUUUUGUGAUUUUGAUUUUGAUUUCAUUAGAAACAAGAUUCUAAACACGUCGAAAACUCCUCUAUAUCAAGUUGAACCAGUUAUUUCAGUUCCAAUGCCGCCAUCUUUGCUACAAAAGGUUGAUUUGACUAUGAGGAAAAUUGUACAUAGAAAAAUUCUAGAAGAUAAAACGCGAGCCAGGGAGUUAAAUAUUUUAAAGAAAGAAUUGUACAAGAAAAUUACAAGUGGAGAACUUGUUGUUUCUGCGGAAAUUGAUGAGUUGGAAAGUGAACUAGCGCAAUAUUUUGUUUAAAAUUAUAAGAAAUCGUUGUUUUAUUGUAGAUAGUGUAUAAUAAAAGAUUAAAUAUG
This is a long non-coding RNA of Dalotia coriaria, 1226 nucleotides long. RefSeq lists it as uncharacterized. The record is from RefSeq and is a predicted model, not a curated record. The transcript is spliced from 2 exons. Lineage: Eukaryota; Metazoa; Arthropoda; Insecta; Coleoptera; Staphylinidae.